GGGCNGGGAAUUCGAUUGUKUGAUCCUGGCUCAGGAUGACGCUGGCGGCGUGCCUAACACAUGCAAGUCGAGCGAAACUUUGCUUAGAUUCUUCGGAUGAAGAGGAUUGUGACUGAGCGGCGGACGGGUGAGUAACGCGUGGGUAACCUGCCUCAUACAGGGGGAUAACAGUUAGAAAUGACUGCUAAUACCGCAUAAGACCACAGCACCGCAUGGUGGGGGGGUAAAAACUCCGGUGGUAUGAGAUGGACCCGCGUCUGAUUAGCUAGUUGGUAAGGUAACGGCUUACCAAGGCGACGAUCAGUAGCCGACCUGAGAGGGUGACCGGCCACAUUGGGACUGAGACACGGCCCAAACUCCUACGGGAGGCAGCAGUGGGGAAUAUUGCACAAUGGGGGAAACCUGAUGCAGCGACGCCGCGUGASAAGGAAGUAUUUCGGUAUGUAAGCUCUAUCAGCAGGAAGAAAAU
This 469-nucleotide ribosomal RNA is filed under the name uncultured bacterium. RNAcentral describes it as "bacterial SSU rRNA". It matches the Rfam family "Bacterial small subunit ribosomal RNA", at positions 1 to 451 of the family's 1533-position model. The record is from RNAcentral.